RNAcentral lists this ribosomal RNA (245 nucleotides) under uncultured bacterium. Its description in RNAcentral is "partial 16S ribosomal RNA". It matches the Rfam family "Bacterial small subunit ribosomal RNA", at positions 524 to 768 of the family's 1533-position model. The record is from RNAcentral.
CACGUAGGGGGCGAACGUUGUUCGGAAUUACUGGGCGUAAAGGGCAUGUAGGCGGUCUGAUAAGCCUGGCGUGAAAGGCUUCGGCUCAACCGAGGCAUUGCGUUGGGAACUGUCGGACUGGAAUCACGGAGAGGGAGAUAGAAUUCCAGGUGUAGGGGUGAAAUCUGUAGAUAUCUGGAAGAAUACCGGUGGCGAAGGCGAUCUCCUGGCCGAUGAUUGACGCUGAGGUGCGAAAGUGUGGGGAU